This 481-nucleotide ribosomal RNA is filed under the name uncultured bacterium. Its description in RNAcentral is "partial 16S ribosomal RNA". It matches the Rfam family "Bacterial small subunit ribosomal RNA", at positions 28 to 523 of the family's 1533-position model. The record is from RNAcentral.
GACGAACGCUGGCGGCGUGCUUAACACAUGCAAGUCGAACGAUGAAGUUCCUUCGGGAAUGGAUUAGUGGCGAACGGGUGAGAAACACGUGAGAAACCUGCCUUUCAUUUUGGGAUAACUCCGGGAAACCGGAGCUAACACCGAAUACUCCGUCUCGGCGGCAUCGCUGAGCCGGGAAAAAAUUAUGAUGAAAGAUCGGUCUCGCGGCCUAUCAGCUAGUUGGUGAGGUAAUGGCUCACCAAGGCGACGACGGGUAGCCGGCCUGGGAGGGCGACCGGCAACCCUGGGACUGAGACACGGCCCAGACUCCUACGGGAGGCAGCAGUGGGGAAUAUUGGGCAAUGGGCGCAAGCCUGACCCAGCGACGCCGCGUGAGGGAUGAAGGCCUUCGGGUUGUAAACCUCUUUCAGUAGGGAAGAAGCGAAAGUGACGGUACCUAAAGAAGAAGCACCGGCUAACUAUGUGCCAGCCGCCGCCGUAA